RNAcentral lists this ribosomal RNA (585 nucleotides) under uncultured bacterium. Its description in RNAcentral is "bacterial SSU rRNA". It matches the Rfam family "Bacterial small subunit ribosomal RNA", at positions 202 to 807 of the family's 1533-position model. The record is from RNAcentral.
AAAAACUCCGGUGGUAUGAGAUGGGCCCGCGUCUGAUUAGCUAGUUGGCGGGGUAACGGCCCACCAAGGCGACGAUCAGUAGCCGACCUGAGAGGGUGACCGGCCACAUUGGGACUGAGACACGGCCCAAACUCCUACGGGAGGCAGCAGUGGGGAAUAUUGCACAAUGGGGGAAACCCUGAUGCAGCGACGCCGCGUGAGCGAUGAAGUAUUUCGGUAUGUAAAGCUCUAUCAGCAGGGAAGAAGAUGACGGUACCUGACUAAGAAGCCCCGGCUAACUACGUGCCAGCAGCCGCGGUAAUACGUAGGGGGCAAGCGUUAUCCGGAUUUACUGGGUGUAAAGGGAGCGUAGACGGCGGUGCAAGCCAGAUGUGAAAGCCCGGGGCUCAACCCCGGGACUGCAUUUGGAACUGUAUGGCUGGAGUGUCGGAGAGGCAGGCGGAAUUCCUAGUGUAGCGGUGAAAUGCGUAGAUAUUAGGAGGAACACCAGUGGCGAAGGCGGCCUGCUGGACGAUGACUGACGUUGAGGCUCGAAAGCGUGGGGAGCAAACAGGAUUAGAUACCCUGGUAGUCCACGCCGUAAAC